CGGAGAAUUGGGGUUCGAUUCCGGAGAGGGAGCCUGAGAAACGGCUACCACAUCCAAGGAAGGCAGCAGGCGCGCAAAUUACCCAAUCCCGACUCGGGGAGGUAGUGACAAUAAAUAACAAUGCCGGGCUAUUUUUAGUCUGGCAAUUGGAAUGAGAACAAUGUAAAUACCUUAACGAGGAACAAUUGGAGGGCAAGUCUGGUGCCAGCAGCCGCGGUAAUUCCAGCUCCAAUAGCGUAUAUUAAAGUUGUUGCAGUUAAAAAGCUCGUAGUUGGAUUUCGGGGCAGGAGGUCCGGUCCGCCGAAAGGCAGGUACUGGACGCCAGCCCUUUUUCUCGGAGGCCCCAUCUGCUCUUCAUUGAGUGGUAGGGGAGUUCGGGACGUUUACUUUGAAAAAAUUAGAGUGUUCAAGGCAGGCCGUCGCUUGAAUACGUUAGCAUGGAAUAAUGGAAUAGGACUUCGGUUCUAUUUCGUUGGUUUCUGGGACCGAAGUAAUGAUUAAGAGGGACAGUUGGGGGCAUUCGUAUUCAAUUGUCAGAGGUGAAAUUCUUGGAUUUAUGGAAGACGAACAACUGCGAAAGCAUUUGCCAAGGAUGUUUUCAUUAA
This 605-nucleotide ribosomal RNA is filed under the name Eunapius sp. Its description in RNAcentral is "SSU rRNA". It matches the Rfam family "Eukaryotic small subunit ribosomal RNA", at positions 363 to 976 of the family's 1831-position model. Lineage: Eukaryota; Metazoa; Porifera; Demospongiae; Spongillida; Spongillidae. The record is from RNAcentral.